This 120-nucleotide ribosomal RNA is filed under the name Pteropus alecto (black flying fox). Lineage: Eukaryota; Metazoa; Chordata; Mammalia; Chiroptera; Pteropodidae. The record is from RNAcentral.
UUAAAAAAUCAAGUUGUACUGAACAAGCCUGAUCCCAUCUGAUCUCGGAAGCUAAGCAGGGUUGGGCCUGGUUCAUACUUGGAAUGGGAGACUACCUAGGAAGACCAGGUGCUAUAUGCA